GGUGGCUCACCUUUCCCAGCUGUAGCAAGCAGGGUGUCCUUCCCCGAAAGUUUUACCCCAUGUGUCAACUUUUUUGAAAUGAGGACAGGCACUCCCGAUUCACCAGAAGGUCGUACCUAUGUAGGGAUGAAAAGUAGAAUCGGCCACCCACCUGGCCGGAUUAGGGAUACAAAAACAUGGAUAAUAUGUACAAAAGUACAAAACAACUAUAUACAGUGCCAUUGGGGUAGGAACACGUGGCUCCUUCAUCAGACAUAGUUGGACUGACGUGACCGAAAGACUUUUGUGAUACAGGUGAGCUCUAAUACUCUAACAGUUUGUGGUGGUGAAAAUUUAUUUAUUUUUUCCUUUUCCCUCCCAUGUUUGUCCAGUGCCCUUUCUUGUAACCUCAGUAACUUACUGUUCAGUCUACUGCUAUAUAGGUUGGCCAGGGUGUGGUAGUGUCAGUGUUCCCAGUGUAAACGGGUGUAAUCUUAAUCAGGUAGUGCGAUCAGUCUCCAUCCCCCAGCUGUUCCCUGGCAUUGUGCGAAGCUUUGAGGACAUAAUGGCACAUUAUUUACAUCCUUGGGCACUGGUGGGAUACUGUGGGCCCUUGUUCUGGGUACCUAAGGGCAUGCUCGGCUAAUAGUUCUAUCAAGUAAUGUUAGGACUGUGAGUGGAAUUCCUUCAGUCUACUGGUCCUCUUUUGCUAUAGUCUCUUCCUGACCCAUCUCCAGUCAUCCCCCUUCCCCCCCAACAGCAGAAGGAAAAGGGAUUAUCAUAUAAUAUAUCUCAACUAAGCUCAAAUGGUAAGCUGCUUUUAACACUCAGAAUAUGUACAG
Non-coding RNA from Pelobates cultripes (western spadefoot toad), 821 nucleotides. NCBI's taxonomy places the organism in Eukaryota, Metazoa, Chordata, Amphibia, Anura, Pelobatidae. The record is from the annotation of a GenBank genome assembly.